This 67-nucleotide transfer RNA is filed under the name Cassianeura bimaculata. Its description in RNAcentral is "tRNA-Met". The record is from RNAcentral. Lineage: Eukaryota; Metazoa; Arthropoda; Insecta; Hemiptera; Cicadellidae.
AAAAAAGUAAGCUAAUUAAGCUACUAGUUCAUACCCUAAUUAUAAAAGUAAAUUCUUUUCUUUUUUA